This 1096-nucleotide long non-coding RNA is filed under the name Homo sapiens (human). RNAcentral describes it as "HSALNT0194488". Lineage: Eukaryota; Metazoa; Chordata; Mammalia; Primates; Hominidae. The record is from RNAcentral.
CUCCUCCUCAUUCCUAGUGCCCCAAGCCAGGCCCUCAUUGCUUCUGGCCUAAUUUAUCUUAAGUUUCUGCUCCUCUAAGAGAUUCACCCUAUCUGCCAACCUGUUCUCCACUGUUGCCAGAGUUAACUUCCUAAAGUGUAUGUUCCAUUAUUAUGUGUUCCAUGCUCAAAAACCUUUAAUGAUUUCCUCUCGCACAGAGAACACACAGAUUGCUAAGCCUGGUAUUCUAAGUUUACUGGGACCCAAUUAAGUCUUUCUUCCAGACUUCCCAGCAACUGCCCAUCCACCUUCUCUGUGCUUCACUCAUGCAGAUCAACUUGCCGAGCAUUUCCCCUCCUUUGGGUCUUUUUCCAGGCUGUAUCAUCACAUACAUCAGGUCAAGCUCAAUAUUGCUCUGGCACUAAAGGCUUCCUAUAGUUUGUCACAUUCCACUGAAUCUUCCUCUUACUUGGCUCAGUUCUGCCUCCACAAUGUUAUCUACUGUGCUCAAACAUGCCCUGCCUGAGGCAUCCAGGACAAGACAGCUAAUUGACUUUGGUCAAUCCCAUCUCUACCCAGAGCCUACUUACUCAUUUCUCAUUGCCUGUCUGUUGUUUACUGAUCUUCCUGUGCCCAACACAGACCAUGUCUCAUGUCCUAUUCUUUCCACACUCCAACUACACUGCUCUUCCAGAUACCCCACAGUGCUCACCAUCAACCCGUACAUGUCUGAUUUUUUUUUAAAUGUUGUAUUAUAGAAAUUUUGAAAAAUGAACACAAGUGGAGAGGGCAUCACGAACCUUGAAUUACCUUGCUUUAACAGUUAACACUAUUUCCUCAAUGUCAUUUUCGACUCUCCCUCUCCCCAUUGCUGGAGUUUUUCAGGCCGAGUCACGUGCACCUGGCCUCUUUUUCUAAUUAUCUCCAAGAACAGCAUCUCAAAAUGCAGGCAGUAGUCCCCCCUUAUCCACGGGGGAUACAUUCCAAGACCCUCAGUGGUGGUCUAAAACCACAGAUAGUACCAAACCUUAUAUACAUUAUGUUUUUCCUAUAUGUACCUAGGAAUCAAAUAAUGAUAAUAUACUGUAAUAAAAGUUAUGUGAAAGUCAUCUCUCCC